Pezoporus flaviventris is the source of this 2609-nucleotide long non-coding RNA. RefSeq lists it as uncharacterized. NCBI's taxonomy places the organism in Eukaryota, Metazoa, Chordata, Aves, Psittaciformes, Psittacidae. The transcript has 6 exons. The record is from RefSeq and is a predicted model, not a curated record.
UCUUCUUUCUUUCUCUUACAGUCUCCUCAGAGCUCAGUGACCUAAGCCAGCACUCACCAAAGCCAGCACCCACCUCCUGCAGAAGUCCCUGUAAGGAGGAGUGGAGCACGCAUAGCACUCCAUACUCACCUUUCUUGCAGUAUUUAUAUUGGAGAGGACAUCCAUAUGCAUAUCGUCAGUCAGCCUGACUCCUUUAUUACAGAAGAAAUAUGUGAUAGCUCUUCUAGGAAACACUGCUUACAGGAGUUGCUGGCACAUCUUGUGUUUAUGGACAUCCCACAGUGAAUGAACUACCCCAUUACGUUUCUUUUUAUUACUAUUUUUUAACUUUAAAAAAAAAAAAAAACCCAAACAACAGUGCUCUGGCCAGUGUCAGAGCCUCAGUGAAAAAGAGACAAACUGGAGGACAAGCAAGCAUCUGAGGAUGGAAAUGCUUCUGGUAUGGUCUGGAUGGUGAAAGAGGAGAAUAUGUUUUUUCUCUGUGGUAAGGAAUGGCUUGAGUCUCUUUCGUUAUGAAACUUUAAUGGCAAACCCUUAUAAGAAAACCAAACAAAGCCUCCCAACAACAUGAAAGAUACUCCAAAAAAGGAUGCUGAAGUUACACCAGUUGUGAUAAAGAAACUUACACCAUUGUUUGCUUCCACAUGUGGAAAAUAGCCCUUGGAUGCUGCAUAAAUGCAGUGCAACAGAAAAUGCCACACUGAGUAUAGGAAACAGAUCAGGAUGAAGAUAUAUGUAUUCUGCUAUGAAAUUAUCAAAGGUCUCCAAAGCUAUAGAUGUUGCUAUAAAUAGCUUGACAUCCUGAUUACCAGAAGGUUCAAAGGAGUCUUCAUAUUGGAUCCUUUUCCAUCUAAGGCCAAACGAGACUUCAGCCUUUGAAUGCACCUGGAAUGGUAAGAAGCAGUGGUAGGCAGCAGCAGUAGCUUCCCAGAGGUACUGAAAGGAUUUGUGAAGAAAUUCUUUCACUUUGAAUUCAGACGAGUUGAUGAUACCUGAAUUAGCAUUAUUUUAAAGAGUACCAUCCUUAUCACAUCCUUAGGAACUAAUUUUUCUGUAAUCACUUUCAAGUUCCAAAUUAGAAUAUUCCUAUAUUCAAUUUAUGCAGGUAAUUUUCCAUAAUACUAGUAGCAGUGACACAAUGCAAGUUUAGCAUAUGCAUUUUCAAUUUUCAUAAAGAGAAACUAAAUUUUCUAGUGCAGUUCAAAGCUUCUGGUAUUUCCUGAACUUCCUUUGACUUCCUACCACUAACUUGAGCCAGAAAGUCCAGUACAAUGUGUCCUGUGCUGCUGAAGAGUAAUUAUUUCACUUGUGCUAACCCAUAAGGGGGUCAGACUUCAUUAAUUCUAAUCUAUUUUAAACAGAUGUUAAAGGAAAUUAAUUUUCAAGUUUAAUUAAAACACGUUUUAAAUAUAGAUUAGCAAUAUCUAAGAAACCAUCAAAGAGGAGGUACUGCUCUUAUUGAACUUACACCCAUGGGACUUCAACAGAUGGAGAAUCAGACCCUUUCAUUUAUUCUUUAGUUAAACAGACCUGAUUCAGUGGUGUCUUACAUGACUGAUAUAUGAAAACCAGGCAUUUGUCAUACCUAUGUCACUUAAAAUUUACAACUGUAUAAAAACAGUUAAAAAACAUGAAAAUGCUUGCUCUCCCUCAUUUUUUGAAAGCACUGUAGUUUUUUGACAAUUAUGGUGGGAAUAAGCAAGUUGAUCAGAAAUAAGAGAAAACUGUUGUCAUUGUAAGGAAACCCACUUAUUCAGGUUGCACUUAGGAGUAUCUAUGCUGGAGAGAAGAUGGGCUUUUAAAAGCAUUUGCUUCUGUAAUGGGAAGAUUCAGUAUACUGGAAAAACCAUAGGUGGGUGGAGGUUUCUGCAUGACCCACCUGAUUUGCCAGAUCAGCAUGUGUUAGCAGUGUAUUACAGUGGCAGAACAGAAAGGGAAGUCUCUAGCUGAGUUAUAAUAGCAGAGGAUUUCUGCUGAAAAAUCAACUGGGAAAACCACAAACAGUGCCCAGUCUGAGCAUACAAGGCUCAGAAUACACUGCUUUGAUGGGGUUUCUUUCAUGGUUAUGGCACUGCAUUUUCUUACCUGAAGCAGACAGUACCCUUGAACAAGGCAGUAGGAUUGCUCUGGCGAAUAUCCUUACAAGUAGUGUAAUCAAAUGUCAUUGAAUAGAAGUUUUAUAGCACUAUUGAAAGUGUUCUGAAGAUGGAUAAGCAACAAGCUCAGUCCUGCCGAUUCCAUUGCACACUUGAGAUCCCAAACAAGUGUUUAAAUGUGACCUCUACAAGGCCUUGAAAUUGUGUGGCAGGUAAGGAAGUGUUUUAUUAGCUACAGUCCAGUGUACAUAUUUGUAAUCUUGAAACUGAAAGCCAGCAGUGGAAAUGACAGAAAGGAUUAGCACAGAACCACAAGAACAGAAACACAUCAUUUCCCAGCAAUAUGGAGAUACAAAAGGAAAACUGCCUGCAGUAAGCAAGCCAGACCCAACUGUCUGAUAUGUAUCACCUCCUAUAUGUUUUGAUUUUCCUUUAGCAUUCCAUAUUUUUUGUCUUUGUCUGCAAAACUUGCUUCAAUUAAAGAAACAGUCAUCUAUAUCCUAUCUAAAGGAC